RNAcentral lists this transfer RNA (69 nucleotides) under Sutterella sp. RNAcentral's name for it is "tRNA-Asn". It matches the Rfam family "tRNA". Rfam says of the family: Transfer RNA (tRNA) molecules are approximately 80 nucleotides in length. Their secondary structure includes four short double-helical elements and three loops (D, anti-codon, and T loops). Lineage: Bacteria; Pseudomonadati; Pseudomonadota; Betaproteobacteria; Burkholderiales; Sutterellaceae. The record is from RNAcentral.
UAGCUCAGUCGGUAGAGCAACGGACUGUUAAUCCGUGGGUCGUUGGUUCGAGCCCAACUCGGGGAGCCA